AGAAGCAGCACUGAACGCAGCUGGAGAGGAGAAGGGUAUGAAACCCUUACGUUAAUUUCAAAACACCGUAACUUUCCAAUUCGAGCUCCGAUCGCCGCACCGUUUGUGGUCACGCGACCACUGCGUCGAGCUCUACGUUUUUACCGGAACAAUUUCAUAGGAUCUAAUUAGCUUGAGAAAAGCGUUCACUCUUGCUUAUACGAAGUUUGGGUAGUAAAUAAAUAAUUGGAGAUUGAAAUUGUGGAUAUUAGAACUUGGAGGAGGCUGAGCAUUAGUGUUUUAUUGAAGUUUUUGGGGCUAUGUUGGUUUUAAUGAAUUGUCUUGAUCAUUACGAGGAUAUCGGCCAAGAUGCAGGUCGAGAGAUACCUUGUUAGGCGUCUGGACUUCUGAAGCGAAGUGGUUAUCGGGUUACUUUUUGAUUGUAUAGUCGUGUAUAUAUAUGUACUUAGUUCUCUCUCCGCAUGACUUGUUCCUUUUAACCUUCUUAGAGGCUUAUGGAGAGACAUGAUUUUGUUUAUGUAAAUCUGGGUUUUGGAUAUAUAUAUAUAUAUAUAUAUAUAUAUAUAUAUAUAUAUAUUCUCCGGCCAGCCUUGACUUCGCGAGCUGAGUUAGGAGCUUGUUAUUUUGUAUC
This is a long non-coding RNA of Arachis stenosperma, 631 nucleotides long. RefSeq lists it as uncharacterized. The record is from RefSeq and is a predicted model, not a curated record. The transcript is spliced from 4 exons. Lineage: Eukaryota; Viridiplantae; Streptophyta; Magnoliopsida; Fabales; Fabaceae.